Molecule: ribosomal RNA, 410 nt
Filed under: Verrucomicrobiota bacterium
Lineage: Bacteria; Pseudomonadati; Verrucomicrobiota
Description: Verrucomicrobia bacterium partial 16S ribosomal RNA
Rfam family: Bacterial small subunit ribosomal RNA
Source: RNAcentral
UGGGGAAUCUUGCACAAUGGGCGAAAGCCUGAUGCAGCGACGCCGCGUGCGGGAUGAAGGCCUUUGGUUUGUAAAUCGUCUUCAGCAGGGACGAGGCCGCAAGGUCACGGUACCUGCAGAAGAAGCCCCGGCUAACUACGUGCCAGCAGCUGCGGUAAUACGUAGGGGGCAAGCGUUAUCCGGAUUCAUUGGGCGUAACGCGCGCGUAGGCGGUUCGUUAGGUCAGGAGUUAAAUCUGGGGGCUGAACCCCUAUCCGCUCCUGAUGCCGGCAGGCUUGAGUGAGGUAGGGGAAGGCGGAAUUCAAAGUGUAGCGGUGAAAUGAGCAGGUAUUUGGAAGAACACCGGUGGCGAGGGCAGCCUUCUGGGCCACGACUGACGCUGAGGGGCGAAAGCUAGGGGAGCGAACAGG